This 385-nucleotide ribosomal RNA is filed under the name uncultured bacterium. RNAcentral describes it as "bacterial SSU rRNA". It matches the Rfam family "Bacterial small subunit ribosomal RNA", at positions 28 to 419 of the family's 1533-position model. The record is from RNAcentral.
GAUGAACGCUAGCGGCAGGCUUAACACAUGCAAGUCGAGGGGUAUAGUUCUUCGGAAUUAGAGACCGGCGCACGGGUGCGUAACGCGUAUGCAAUCUACCUUUACAGAGGGAUAGCCCAGAGAAAUUUGGAUUAAUACCUCAUAGUAUAGCAGUUUCGCAUGAAACCACUAUUAAAGUCACAACGGUAAAGAUGAGCAUGCGUCCCAUUAGCUAGUUGGUAAGUAACGGCUUACCAAGGCUACGAUGGGUAGGGGUCCUGAGAGGGAGAUCCCCCACACUGGUACUGAGACACGGACCAGACUCCUACGGGAGGCAGCAGUGAGGAAUAUUGGACAAUGGGCGCAAGCCUGAUCCAGCCAUGCCGCGUGCAGGAUGACGGUCCUA